GUGUCUUUCUGGAUUUUUCCUUGUGGUUUUGUUUUCCUCCUAUUUUUCAAGGAGUUUUUCGGUAUGAAUGGACAUUCUGUUUGAACAGAACAAAUCCCCUGUACACGCCAAUGACCCAAUAAAACCGCUCAUAAACGCUCACCGCAGACAUCCAGCUGCAGCGCUGUGGAGCUGGAGCCUCUCUCGUUGUGGGCAUGGCAGCGAUAAGUCCCAGAGUCUGAUUGGUUGACGGCUGGGAUCAAGAGUGAGGUGGCGCGUUGAUAACCACGGGAACCAGGCAGCAUGUGUGAGGCGUUUGAUUCAUUAGGAUGCUGCGGGGGGAAAAGAGACAAAGGUGAUCAGAUAUUUAUUUAAUCCAAUUUCUUAGUGUUUUUAUGUUUUCUUCUUGUUUAAAUGUAUUUUGGUUGCACAUAUUUCUUCUUGUUCUUAUUUCUUCUUUGUUGACGUUUAUAUUUGUUUGUAUUUCAUAAUCUUGUUCAUAAUUCUCAUUGAUGUCAUUCACAUUGUUUAUAUUUCAUAUUCAUAUAUUGAAGUUAGAAGUAUUGUUUUAUUCCUGCGUCUGUAAUAUUUUUAUUUGUGUGUAAUGCUAACCUCCCCUCCCCCAACAAUAUUCAAUCAAUAUUCAUUAUAAGUACACCGUUCAGUACAUUUUUCUGUGAACUAUUAUUGUUGUUGUAGAGUUUCCAUUCAAUCCAAUCACAGUUAUGCUAUUAUUUUCCAUUUUAUAAAAUUGAGCUCGUCAUCAUUCUGCUCCCCUUUUAAAUAUGAUUCUUUCUCUGCCUUUAGUUGACAUCGCAACAUCAACCAACCCAUAGAAUCCAAGCUCAAAAUCUUUCUGUGAAGUCACAUUUCCAUGUUAUCCACUGUAAUAAAUAAUUGUCUUAAUUCA
Long non-coding RNA from Labrus mixtus (cuckoo wrasse), 889 nucleotides. RefSeq lists it as uncharacterized. The transcript has 2 exons. NCBI's taxonomy places the organism in Eukaryota, Metazoa, Chordata, Actinopteri, Labriformes, Labridae. The record is from RefSeq and is a predicted model, not a curated record.